AUGCUGGACAGCACUUGCUACCAGCUCCCCUGAUCCACUGUGAAGUUCAGGGUCCUCUGUGUGUGUGGGUAGACUGGGGUGGGGGAUGAAGGAGAGGAGGUCCAGUUUCUGCUUUUAUGAUGUUGCAGCCUAGCCUGGAAAGCACGGUAGUUGGGGACAGUGCUGGGCUGGCCAUCACCUGAGCGAUGCCCAUCUGGGAAGGCCAUGGGGCGUGGAAUGUAGCUUUUAAGCCAUGAGCUGCUCAGGGGCAUGAUCAACAUGAUCUUAGGGUGGUAUUCUCUGAGGGUGGCUGAACUUGUGUCCCAAACAUGUCCCAGAGAAGCAUUUAGGACAAGCUGGGCUGGCUGGGCAGGUCCCCAGGAGCAGUCUUACACGAGGGCCUCCUGUGGGCUUAAGGCCCACAGCCUCCAUCCCAGGUUUCGGGUCUACCUAUCUUCUGAAGCUGCCCACAGGCCUAUCUGUGCGCCACACUGUACUGGGUGGUGGUAAAACACCUUGUCCUGAGUCAUGAUGGUGUCACAGUCAUCCCACUUUACAGCUAAGAAAACACUCUGAGACGUGAGGUGUCAUAUAAAAAGCCAGAAGAACUUAGAGCUAAGGUUGUCAGGGCCCAAAUCAGAUGCCUUUCUGUUCUCCACCCCAGGUAAGCACAAGGGUGACUCAGCUGAGAGCCCUGCCCUCAGUGGAACCAGGAGUCUGAUGGCUGGCCAUCCGAGAGAGAGAGAGAGAGAGAGAGAGAGAGAGAGAGAGAGAGAGAGAGAGAGCGAGCCCUGGAGCCCCAGAUGCCCAUAGACCCCUCCUGCGGAGAAACUGCUGGCUAGUGGUUCUGCAGGGCUACUCAGAGUUCUGAACAAAAUGACAGGGAUGUAAGUGCCCUGACACUGAAGCUGUUUUUCCCAACUAUAAAACAACAGAACACACACACACACACACACACAUGAAAUACAGCCCCAGGUAGUCCAGGCUGGUCUUGAACUCAGUAUGUUGGGAUUAUAGACAUGAGGAGCCAUUGUACCCAGUUCACGUGGAGCUAGGGAUUGAACCCAGGGCCUUGCACAUGUCAAGCAAGCAUCCUACCACUGAGAUAUAGCUCCAUUUUUUUCCUUGUUAGCAUUCAUUCAUAUGUGUGUGUGUGUGUGUGUGUGUGUGUGUGUGUGUGUGUGUGUGUGUGAGAGAGAGAGAGAGAGAGAGAGAGAGAGAGAGAGAGAGAACAUGUGGAGGUUGGAAGAUAACCUGUGGAAGUUGGUUCUUUCCUAUGAUGCAAGUUCUGGGGAUUGAACUCAGAUUAUCAGGCUUGGCAGCAAGCACCUUUACCCACAAAGGCACCCCACCAGCUUCCCAAAUGCCAAGGGAACAAGGGGACAUAUCGUGGAUGGACUUUGCUUUAGUGUGGUAAUUUAUCCAUGUGCAUCGGGCCAGUCCCUGCUUAGAGGGACUUAGAAAUGUUACUAAAACUCUACACAUAGCUAAAACUACUGUGUAGAGAAUCCUGUCUGCGGGGAGCUUGCCACCUAACGAGGAAGCUCAGAGGCCUGUGGUGAGGAGGGCAGGUCAUCACCCCUUCUUCACUGUACGGCAACUACCGGCAUGAACACGGGUUCAUCCGAGGUGAAGAGGGCCUUACCUGAGGGCAGUCAGGGUCUUAAGCAGGGUGUGUGUGGUGAUCUUUACAGCAUCAGGAAGUGGUGAGAGCUGAGCUGCUGUGAGGAACAGGAAGCAGGGGAGCCUUGAGGCUGGGAAAGCCCUCCCUGGUCUCUGUGGCCCCACAGAUUGGCUAUUUGGACCUGGUAGAGGCUCAGAAAAGGGAGACAGAAGGGGCUCAGAACCAGCUGCUUGGGGUCACCCCUCAACUUCCUUCUUCUGUGCUUCAGCCUGUGCCUGGGGAGAGGGCAUUGGUUGGUGCAAUGGCUCUGUGAUUCCUCAGGGCACACCAAGCCUGUCUUCACCCAACCCUGACUCUCAGCAAGCUCGCCAGCCUUGCCUCUGUACCUCUGCAUAGGCCCUCCCGUCUCUGGCAAGCAUUCCGUGCCUUUCUUUCCUUCUUCCCUCACUGAGGAGACUCAGCUCCCUGGCUGACCCACAGUUUCAGCAGGCCUCAACCCUGAUCCCAGGGCCCCAGACCUCGUCCUUCCCUAAAAAGACCAGCCCGGCGUGGCCAGCAGCUUGCCAGGAGCAAGGGUGGACCAUGUGCUAGCAGAGGCCCUCCUUAGCACCGUUUCUGAGCAAGGCCAGAGCCUUUCCAGAGAGGAACGCAAGCAAGGCCUGAUAGGUGACACCAGACAGACACAAAGAUGACCAGUAGCAACCGAGGACUCUCCAGUGUCGCUGGUCCUCAUGCCCUGGACCUUCAGGGCCUGAUUCCCCAGUGUGGAGAGGCUGGUGAGAGCUGUCAACAUCACUCAUGGCCCUCUGAAUGAAUGAGGGCCUGGGGGGUCCCCACUCAGCACAGCUAGGCUGGGGUCAGAAAGAUUGUAGCUACCCUGUGAGCUUGUUGAUCUGGGGCUUUGAACUUUCUUAGGUGGCAGGCUUCAGGCAACAGGUUCUGCUUAAAUGCACUUGAGACUUUCUCUAGAGGGACAGAGACCACAGUGCCUCCUUCUCAGCUGUGGGCAUGGGUGUGGGCUGCUGAGGAGGGCGAUUUAUCCUGUGGCCAAGCAGCCCUAUAGCACAGAGCAGAGCUAACUGGCCAGCAGUAGCCAAACCUUGAGCCCACUUGGAACACAAAGCCCUCCACUCCUGCACUUUGAUUGGAAUCCAAAUUAGACUCCUUGAUGGCUUUCUCCAGGGUAUGGAGACAUCUGUGUUCUACUCAAACAUCUGGUAGAGUUCUUGGUUUCAGCCUCUAAAGUGUCUUCUGACACACACACACACACACACACACACACACACGUAUACACACAUACAUACCAUGUGCAUUGUAACCUCCCACAGACACACACACACACAGAGGUAUGGGCAAAUAUAAGCACACAUAGGAUGAUACACAGUCUAUAAGGAGUUAGUACAUUUAUUUAUUGUGUGUGUGUGUAUGUGUGUGUAUGCAAUGGGGCAUAUGUAGAGGUCAAAAGACAACUUAUAGGAGUUAGUUCCUCACCCUUUCUAAGACAGGGUCUCUGUAGUUUGGGCUGUCUUGAAACUCGCUAUGUAGAGCAGGCUGAGCUUGGACUCGUGGAGAUCCUCCUGCCUCUGUAUCUUGAGUGCUGAGACUAAAGGCACAUUUAGAACGCCACGCUUGGCUGUUUGCUCUUUCUACCGUAUGGGUCCUGGGGCUCAAACCCAGGUUGUCAGGUUCCAUGGCACAAGACUGUACCCUGAGCCAUCUCUCCAGCCUGUGGCUACCCUAACUUCCUCUUCAAAUGUGUCCAAAUAUCUGCCCACCAUUAUUGCAUAACACCAAGAGGUGUUUACACACACGUAUGUCCUUCAGCAACCUGUGGUUAGUGACUGACACACCACACCCAGGCCUUGCUACUGUAUCCCCAGCCCACAACCUGUGAUAUCCGGUAGCUAGCAAUGGCCUCCUUGUUCUCCAGGCUCUUCCUCUCAAAGGGCAGACCCUGUAGUCAUCCCUUGGCCUUUGGACCUGGCCAUGUGAGGCUAAGCUCUAUACGUUCUUGGGCAGGAACCAGAUUUUCCUCUUUCUAGACACUUCCACACCUCUGCCCUGACCAGACCUGGACAAUGCAGGGUUGAUGGGUCAGCCAACUGAUGGGGCUGCCAGAGAGCCACUCUGAAAUGUUUCCUAGCCUAGGGUGGACUCAAGUUCUUUUGAGAAACAAUGUGAAAACUUGAUUCCACCAGGUAUCUGGUGUGCUUGUCAGCCAGUGGUCCCACACCCCCAUAGGUGAGUGUCAUCAGGGGCCACACUGAAGGUGGCUCAGCCAGGAGGGAAGGGCUUGGGUAACCAGACACAAAGGGGCCUGUGUGGUGGCACAGACCUCUGACCCAGCCUUCAGGAAGCAGGCUGAAGGACACAAGCAAGCUUGAGGCCAACCUCAUCUCCAUGUUGAGCUACAGGCUAGUCAGAGCUACAUAGCUUAAGCAAACAGGUAAAAACAAUAAAAGGUGGGUGACAUGAAUCUGCGGAUAGAGGCUGCCAAGCCUGACAACUUGAGUUUGAUCCUUGGACAGACUUUUGCAAGUUGUCCUUUCUCUCCUGUAUGAUAGGCACAUUCACACACAAAGGGAAUGAAUGAAUGAGUAAAUGAA
RNAcentral lists this long non-coding RNA (4209 nucleotides) under Mus musculus (house mouse). RNAcentral describes it as "long non-coding RNA chr6:86606015-86610224". Lineage: Eukaryota; Metazoa; Chordata; Mammalia; Rodentia; Muridae. The record is from RNAcentral.